RNAcentral lists this ribosomal RNA (301 nucleotides) under uncultured bacterium. Its description in RNAcentral is "partial 16S ribosomal RNA". It matches the Rfam family "Bacterial small subunit ribosomal RNA", at positions 509 to 807 of the family's 1533-position model. The record is from RNAcentral.
CAGUUGCCGCGGUAAUACAGAGGGUGCGAGCGUUAAUCGGAUUUACUGGGCGUAAAGCGUGCGUAGGCGGCUUUUUAAGUCGGAUGUGAAAUCCCUGAGCUUAACUUAGGAAUUGCAUUCGAUACUGGGAAGCUAGAGUAUGGGAGAGGAUGGUAGAAUUCCAGGUGUAGCGGUGAAAUGCGUAGAGAUCUGGAGGAAUACCGAUGGCGAAGGCAGCCAUCUGGCCUAAUACUGACGCUGAGGUACGAAAGCAUGGGGAGCAAACAGGAUUAGAUACCCCAGUAGUCCCUGUCUCUUAUAC